GCAAGGGGGUAGGGGACAUGCGGCUAGGGGGAAGGGGGGGUAGGGUAAGUGAGGGUAGGGGACAUCAGGCCACACCACUGGAGGGGGUCAGUGAUUGGUGGAGGCGCUGCCCUACUUACUUGUUGGUCUUCUGUGUGUAGACCUGUAUAUUAUUUUGGAUCGGUCCCCAUGGUGGUGAUGUGAGGCAGCCGGCUGGAUGACCUACUGAGUGGCCUUCUGCAGCACUUACUGCUCAAUUUACUGCAUGCCUGCACGCACGCACACGCACACGCACACACAAGCUGCUACCGGGUCUUCCUGUGGGUCCACCCAGUCACGCUGUUCCACUCGGGGCAGCAGAACCGGGAGCUCGCUUCCUAGAGAGCACGGACAGGAAGACACUCACACAGACAGGAUCUCCCUCCCCCUUUCCUAGCCUGUCUCUCUAUGACUCCCUCCUGCAUGGCUCUCUAAGAUCUCUCUCCCUGCCUUGGUAGUAAUUAGAGUAGCUUCCGCUCCCGGUGGGGAUUGAACGUUUGGUGUGUAGCGAGUUUCCCUGCCUGCCACUUGUAUUUAAAUAAUGUCUUGGAAGCAGCACUCAUCUGUAUGGGUGAAGCACAUUCUCCUACUUUACUUUUCACACGCUAUUAGCACUAAUACACAUGGAGCUAGUCCUGUAUUUCUAACAAACAUACAACACGACUAUAAAUAACCAUAAAACCACAACUGCUGAAGUCUUUGCCCCACGCGGGUAUAAAUGGCAAGAUUCCCAUUCCCCUGAAACGGCAAAUGUCACACAAUCCCUAACAGGAUUGCUGUUGUGGUCUAGAUUAUUUUGUAUUAAUAGCAGGGUCACGAGACCUUGGUGUGUGUGUGUGUGUGUGUGUGUGUGUGUGUGUACAUACGGGCUGUAUCCGAAGGCUCCGUGAAUAGUUUAUUCUUUUCAUGGAGCCUGAGGUGAAUAAUUAUUUUAGUUUAUUACACGGGUCUUCUCAAUGCCCUCGCACGCUCCGUUCACUUGCAUGGGCCCUUCACAACUUCCGAAGGUGAAUUAUAUUUGAUAAUUCACCGUUGCUAAAUAUAAUUGACCGCUGUCAAGGAAAACAAAGGAUUUGUAGCCUCUAAUGACGUCUUCGGUAGCACUCCGCAAGUAGUCUGGUAACUUGUCGACCCCAGCAUCUUCGGUUGCUAAGCGACGUCAACGUCUUUGGCAGACUAUUUCUCUGCUGAUCAACACUACGAAUGCUGGUAACAAAUAAA
Gadus macrocephalus (Pacific cod) is the source of this 1239-nucleotide long non-coding RNA. RefSeq lists it as uncharacterized. Lineage: Eukaryota; Metazoa; Chordata; Actinopteri; Gadiformes; Gadidae. The record is from RefSeq and is a predicted model, not a curated record. The transcript has 2 exons.